AUUGAAAUGAAUGGUCAGUAAAAGCCAUACAACGCAAUACGAAGCCUCUUUCAUUAUUUCAUCUUACCUCUAAUUUUUUUAGAUUCCCUCCAUUCUUUUUUUUCCCAUCAAAAUCAAACUUUUCCCUCUUUGAAAUAUUGAUUUCAUAGAUUACCUUUUCCAUCCCUCACGUCUAUCUCCACAUAUCACCUGUUUCUCACCAUCGUAAAGGCCAUUAGCCACCAUGGAUGCUAACUAACUCUCAUCUGAACUUUUUCUCUGUCAUUCCUUUCUCACAAACCAAGUUGGCAGUAGUGCCUCUUUUUCUGCUCUCAAGGAAGUUCGAUCUGUUGGUUGUUCUUUUGCAUUACAGAGGAAGACACAGAUGAGGGAAGUGAUGGAGAAAGCCGGGAAGGUGAUUGUGAAAUUUCAUAUAUGGAAUAUACAAGAUUUAUUUGGCUUAAGAACGAGGAUAUGCAGAGACCGGUACAUGGGUAGGAAAUUAGAUAAAGAAAGGGAGAAGUAUCAUGAUUGUCAUCACAGAGAUCAUCACAUGAAUCGAAAUGACAAAAAGGAAAGGGAGAGGAUAAAGAUAGAGAUGAAGAAAAUCAUCAUCAAAUUUGAGAUUUUGACCAGUACUGAACGAUCGGAUCACUGUUGAUGAGCUCAUGAGAGUAGGUAAAGAUUUCUGGGGUUUCGUGAAGAAGUGGUUCUAUUAGCAAUUCUAUUAGAAAAUCAUAUGGCUCGUAAUUUGAUGGGUCGUACAUGAUGUUCAAAAUUUGGCAUGCGGAAGACUUUAUUUUGAUCAAGAGUUUGAAGAAGUUUUUAUACGCUGUGUAUUGUAUAGUGUUGUAGCUAUUUCAAACACUAGUUAUUAGACACAAAAUGACACUAAAUAUAGGAUUUAAAUAAUUUAGUUUUU
This is a non-coding RNA of Nicotiana tabacum (common tobacco), 901 nucleotides long. The record is from RefSeq and is a predicted model, not a curated record. NCBI's taxonomy places the organism in Eukaryota, Viridiplantae, Streptophyta, Magnoliopsida, Solanales, Solanaceae.